AGUGGGAUAGCUGGGUCAAAUGGUGGUUCUAUUUCAAGUUUUCUGGGGAAUUUCCAUACCACUUUCCAUAAUGGUUGCACCAAUUUGCAGUCCCACCAGCAAU
Molecule: microRNA precursor, 103 nt
Filed under: Marmota monax (woodchuck)
Lineage: Eukaryota; Metazoa; Chordata; Mammalia; Rodentia; Sciuridae
Source: RNAcentral